UGAACGCUGGCGGCGUGCCUAAUACAUGCAAGUCGAACGAGUUCUCGUUGAUGAUCGGUGCUUGCACCGAGAUUCAACAUGGAACGAGUGGCGGACGGGUGAGUAACACGUGGGUAACCUGCCCUUAAGUGGGGGAUAACAUUUGGAAACAGAUGCUAAUACCGCAUAGAUCCAAGAACCGCAUGGUUCUUGGCUGAAAGAUGGCGUAAGCUAUCGCUUUUGGAUGGACCCGCGGCGUAUUAGCUAGUUGGUGAGGUAAUGGCUCACCAAGGCGAUGAUACGUAGCCGAACUGAGAGGUUGAUCGGCCACAUUGGGACUGAGACACGGCCCAAACUCCUACGGGAGGCAGCAGUAGGGAAUCUUCCACAAUGGACGCAAGUCUGAUGGAGCAACGCCGCGUGAGUGAAGAAGGCUUUCGGGUCGUAAAACUCUGUUGUUGGAGAAGAAUGGUCGGCAGAGUAACUGUUGUCGGCGUGACGGUAUCCAACCAGAAAGCCACGGCUAACUACGUGCCAGCAGCCGCGGUAAUACGUAGGUGGCAAGCGUUAUCCGGAUUUAUUGGGCGUAAAGCGAGCGCAGGCGGUUUUUUAAGUCUGAUGUGAAAGCCCUCGGCUUAACCGAGGAAGCGCAUCGGAAACUGGGAAACUUGAGUGCAGAAGAGGACAGUGGAACUCCAUGUGUAGCGGUGAAAUGCGUAGAUAUAUGGAAGAACACCAGUGGCGAAGGCGGCUGUCUGGUCUGUAACUGACGCUGAGGCUCGAAAGCAUGGGUAGCGAACAGGAUUAGAUACCCUGGUAGUCCAUGCCGUAAACGAUGAAUGCUAGGUGUUGGAGGGUUUCCGCCCUUCAGUGCCGCAGCUAACGCAUUAAGCAUUCCGCCUGGGGAGUACGACCGCAAGGUUGAAACUCAAAGGAAUUGACGGGGGCCCGCACAAGCGGUGGAGCAUGUGGUUUAAUUCGAAGCAACGCGAAGAACCUUACCAGGUCUUGACAUCUUUUGAUCACCUGAGAGAUCAGGUUUCCCCUUCGGGGGCAAAAUGACAGGUGGUGCAUGGUUGUCGUCAGCUCGUGUCGUGAGAUGUUGGGUUAAGUCCCGCAACGAGCGCAACCCUUAUGACUAGUUGCCAGCAUUUAGUUGGGCACUCUAGUAAGACUGCCGGUGACAAACCGGAGGAAGGUGGGGAUGACGUCAAAUCAUCAUGCCCCUUAUGACCUGGGCUACACACGUGCUACAAUGGAUGGUACAACGAGUUGCGAGACCGCGAGGUCAAGCUAAUCUCUUAAAGCCAUUCUCAGUUCGGACUGUAGGCUGCAACUCGCCUACACGAAGUCGGAAUCGCUAGUAAUCGCGGAUCAGCACGCCGCGGUGAAUACGUUCCCGGGCCUUGUACACACCGCCCGUCACACCAUGAGAGUUUGUAACACCCGAAGCCGGUGGCGUAACCCUUUUAGGGAGCGAGCCGUCUAAGGUGGGAC
This 1476-nucleotide ribosomal RNA is filed under the name Lacticaseibacillus casei. RNAcentral's name for it is "Lactobacillus casei 16S ribosomal RNA". It matches the Rfam family "Bacterial small subunit ribosomal RNA". The record is from RNAcentral. Lineage: Bacteria; Bacillati; Bacillota; Bacilli; Lactobacillales; Lactobacillaceae.